UACGGAGGGCGCAAGCGGUGUUCGGAAUCACUGGGCGUAAAGCGCGUGUAGGCGGCUUGGUAAGUCAGGUGUGAAAGCCCGGAGCUCAACUCUGGAACUGCAUUCGAAACUACCUCGCUCGAGUCCCGGAGAGGGUGGUGGAAUUCCCGGUGUAGAGGUGAAAUUCGUAGAUAUCGGGAGGAACACCAGUGGCGAAGGCGGCCACCUGGACGGUGACUGACGCUGAGACGCGAAAGCGUGGGGAGCAAACAGG
This 253-nucleotide ribosomal RNA is filed under the name uncultured bacterium. Its description in RNAcentral is "partial 16S ribosomal RNA". It matches the Rfam family "Bacterial small subunit ribosomal RNA", at positions 524 to 776 of the family's 1533-position model. The record is from RNAcentral.